This 831-nucleotide ribosomal RNA is filed under the name Wolbachia endosymbiont of Icosta sp. 2 ES-2018. Its description in RNAcentral is "bacterial SSU rRNA". It matches the Rfam family "Bacterial small subunit ribosomal RNA", at positions 76 to 943 of the family's 1533-position model. The record is from RNAcentral. Lineage: Bacteria; Pseudomonadati; Pseudomonadota; Alphaproteobacteria; Rickettsiales; Anaplasmataceae.
UGCUAUGGUAUAACUUWAGUGGCAGACGGGUGAGUAAUGUAUAGGAAUCUACCUAGUAGUACGGAAUAAUURUUGGAAACGGCAACUAAUACCGUAUACGCCCUACGGGGGAAAGAUUUWAUCGCUAUUAGAUGAGCCUAUAUUAGAUUAGCUAGUUGGUAAGGUAAAUGGCUUACCAAAGGCAAUGAUCUAUAGCUGAUCUGAGAGGAUGAUCAGCCACACUGGAACUGAGAUACGGUCCAGACUCCUACGGGAGGCAGCAGUGGGGAAUAUUGGACAAUGGGCGAAAGCCUGAUCCAGCCAUGCCGCAUGAGUGAAGAAGGCCUUUGGGUUGUAAAGCUCUUUCGGUGAGGAAGAUAAUGACGGUACUCACAGAAGAAGUCCUGGCUAACUCCGUGCCAGCAGCCGCGGUAAUACGGAGAGGGCUAGCGUUAUUCGGAAUUAUUGGGCGUAAAGAGCGCGUAGGCUGGUUAGUAAGUUAAAAGUGAAAUCCCAAAGCUCAACUUUGGAAUUGCUUUUAAAACUGCUAACCUAGAGAUUGAAAGAGGAUAGAGGAAUUCCUAGUGUAGAGGUGAAAUUCGUAAAUAUUAGGAGGAACACCAGUGGCGAAGGCGUCUAUCUGGUUCAAAUCUGACGCUGAGGCGCGAAGGCGUGGGGAGCAAACAGGAUUAGAUACCCUGGUAGUCCACGCUGUAAACGAUGAAUGUUAAAUAUGGGAAGUUUACUUUCUGUAUUACAGCUAACGCGUUAAACAUUCCGCCUGGGGACUACGGUCGCAAGAUUAAAACUSAAAGGAAUUGACGGGGACCCGCACAAGCGGUGGAGCAUGUG